GCCUGGGUGGCUCAGUUGGUUGAGCGUCUGACUUCAGCUCAGGUCAUGAUCUCACAGUUCGUGAGUUUGAGCCCCGCGUCGGGCU
RNAcentral lists this transfer RNA (85 nucleotides) under Felis catus (domestic cat). It matches the Rfam family "tRNA". From Rfam's summary of the family: Transfer RNA (tRNA) molecules are approximately 80 nucleotides in length. Their secondary structure includes four short double-helical elements and three loops (D, anti-codon, and T loops). Further hydrogen bonds mediate the characteristic L-shaped molecular structure. tRNAs have two regions of fundamental functional importance: the anti-codon, which is responsible for specific mRNA codon recognition, and the 3' end, to which the tRNAs corresponding amino acid is attached (by aminoacyl-tRNA synthetases). tRNAs cope with the degeneracy of the genetic code in two manners: having more than one tRNA (with a specific anti-codon) for a particular amino acid; and 'wobble' base-pairing, i.e. permitting non-standard base-pairing at the 3rd anti-codon position. The record is from Rfam by way of RNAcentral. Lineage: Eukaryota; Metazoa; Chordata; Mammalia; Carnivora; Felidae.